CCCUUAGAUGUUCUGGGCCGCACGCGCGCUACACUGAUGAAUGCAACGAGCUCUACCCUUGACCGAAAGGCCCGGGUAAACUUGUGAAACUUCAUUGUGAUGGGGAUAGAUUAUUGCAAUUAUUAAUCUUCAACGAGGAAUUCCUAGUAAGCGCGAGUCAUCAGCUCGCGUUGAUUACGUCCCUGCCCUUUGUACACACCGCCCGUCGCUCCUACCGAUUGAAUGGUCCGGUGAAAUCUUCGGAUUGCUGACCAAGAUCCAGCAAUGGAGCUUGGUUGCGAGAAGUUGAUUAAACCUUAUUAUUUAGAGGAAGGAGAAGUCGUAACA
RNAcentral lists this ribosomal RNA (327 nucleotides) under uncultured eukaryote. RNAcentral's name for it is "partial 18S ribosomal RNA". It matches the Rfam family "Eukaryotic small subunit ribosomal RNA", at positions 1470 to 1796 of the family's 1831-position model. The record is from RNAcentral.